RNAcentral lists this unclassified non-coding RNA (462 nucleotides) under Fasciola gigantica. RNAcentral's name for it is "partial contains 5.8S rRNA, ITS2 and 28S rRNA". The stretch from base 1 to 76 matches the Rfam family "5.8S ribosomal RNA", at positions 79 to 154 of the family's 154-position model. The record is from RNAcentral. Lineage: Eukaryota; Metazoa; Platyhelminthes; Trematoda; Plagiorchiida; Fasciolidae.
ACUGCUUUGAACAUCGACAUCUUGAACGCAUAUUGCGGCCAUGGGUUAGCCUGUGGCCACGCCUGUCCGAGGGUCGGCUUAUAAACUAUCACGACGCCCAAAAAGUCGUGGCUUGGGUUUUGCCAGCUGGCGUGAUCUCCUCUAUGAGUAAUCAUGUGAGGUGCCAGAUCUAUGGCGUUUCCCUAAUGUAUCCGGAUGCACCCUUGUCUUGGCAGAAAGCCGUGGUGAGGUGCAGUGGCGGAAUCGUGGUUUAAUAAUCGGGUUGGUACUCAGUUGUCAGUGUGUUCGGCGAUCCCCUAGUCGGCACACUCAUGAUUUCUGGGAUAAUUCCAUACCAGGCACGUUCCGUUACUGUUACUUUGUCAUUGGUUUGAUGCUGAACUUGGUCAUGUGUCUGAUGCUAUUUCAUAUAACGACGGUACCCUUCGUGGUCUGUCUUCCUGACCUCGGUUCAGACGUGAU